RNAcentral lists this long non-coding RNA (264 nucleotides) under Nicotiana tabacum (common tobacco). RNAcentral describes it as "long non-coding RNA (NTAB_LNC004106)". The record is from RNAcentral. Lineage: Eukaryota; Viridiplantae; Streptophyta; Magnoliopsida; Solanales; Solanaceae.
AGUUUAAAUAGGCGCUCACCUGUAUAACGAGAGGAAUAAUUUUCAUGUCUUAGUUUAAAUAGGUGCCCACCUGUAUAACGAGAGGAAUACUUUUCAGUCUUAGUUUAAAUAGGCGCCCACCUGUAUAACGAGAGGAAUAUUUUCAGUCUUAGUUUAAAUAGGCGCACAUCUGUAUAACGAGAGGAAUAAUUUUCAUGUCUUAGUUUAAAUAGGCGCCCACCUGUAUAAUGAGAGAAAUAUUUUCAGUCUUAGUUUAAAUAGGCG